CCUACGGGGUGCAGCAGUGAGGAAUAUUGGUCAAUGGUCGGGAGACUGAACCAGCCAAGCCGCGGGAGGGAUGAAGGUACAGAGUAUCGUAAACCUCUUUUGUCAGGGAACAAAGGCGGGGACGUGUCCCCGGAUGAGUGUACCUGAAGAAAAAGCAUCGGCUAACUCCGUGCCAGCAGCCGCGGUAAUACGGAGGAUGCGAGCGUUAUCCGGUUUUAUGGGGUUAAAAGGGUGCGCAGGCGGUCUGUUAAGUCAGCGGUCAAAGCCCGGGGCUCAACCCCGGCCCGCCGUUGAAACUGGCAGUCUCGAGUUGGAGAGAAGUAUGCGGAAUGCGCGGUGUAGCGGUGAAAUGCAUAGAUAUCGCGCAGAACUCCGAUUGCGAAGGCAGCAUGCCGGCUCCACACUGACGCUGAGGCACGAAAGCGUGGGUAUCGAACAGGAUUAGAUACCCUUGUAGUC
This 459-nucleotide ribosomal RNA is filed under the name uncultured bacterium. RNAcentral's name for it is "partial 16S ribosomal RNA". It matches the Rfam family "Bacterial small subunit ribosomal RNA", at positions 338 to 795 of the family's 1533-position model. The record is from RNAcentral.